Molecule: transfer RNA, 69 nt
Filed under: Ictidomys tridecemlineatus (thirteen-lined ground squirrel)
Lineage: Eukaryota; Metazoa; Chordata; Mammalia; Rodentia; Sciuridae
Description: Spermophilus tridecemlineatus (thirteen-lined ground squirrel) tRNA
Rfam family: tRNA
About the family: Transfer RNA (tRNA) molecules are approximately 80 nucleotides in length. Their secondary structure includes four short double-helical elements and three loops (D, anti-codon, and T loops). Further hydrogen bonds mediate the characteristic L-shaped molecular structure. tRNAs have two regions of fundamental functional importance: the anti-codon, which is responsible for specific mRNA codon recognition, and the 3' end, to which the tRNAs corresponding amino acid is attached (by aminoacyl-tRNA synthetases). tRNAs cope with the degeneracy of the genetic code in two manners: having more than one tRNA (with a specific anti-codon) for a particular amino acid; and 'wobble' base-pairing, i.e. permitting non-standard base-pairing at the 3rd anti-codon position.
Source: Rfam by way of RNAcentral
GGGGUUGUGGCUCAGUGGUAGAGUGCUUGCCUAGCACACAUGAGGUCCUGGGUUCGAUCCUCAGCACCA